This 1188-nucleotide ribosomal RNA is filed under the name Triticum aestivum (bread wheat). RNAcentral describes it as "partial small subunit ribosomal RNA". The record is from RNAcentral. Lineage: Eukaryota; Viridiplantae; Streptophyta; Magnoliopsida; Poales; Poaceae.
AUGGAAGAAUCCAGCCCCAUUCCCCCUUCCUUGUCUGGACAGCCAGAUUUGUUUGCGUUGGAUCUUAAAGUUGAAUCAUUUAGCACUAACCAUCCAUCGGGCUUGAAAUCUUACUUCAAGGGCAGAGUGUUGAAAUGGGUUGUCGACCGCAAGUCGUUGACUGUGGAUGCUAUGAGGUUCCAAGCUGCAUAUGCUGGGGUGAUUGCAUCAAUGACAGAUAAAUCAGAGUGGCCCGAAGUUGAUCUAGGAUUUAAGGUACACCCUCCUGUACAAACGAAGAAUGUGCCUGGUAGGCCUAGGAAGGUGAGGAUUAGAGGUUGGAUGGAACCUAUGAGAAGAACAGUUAAAUGCAAGAGAUACGAUGAAGAGGAAGAAGAGCCAGAUGAUGGGGAGCAAGAAAAGCCAGAUGAUGUAGAGAAACAAGAAAAUCCCGAUGAUGGAGAGCAACAAGGACUAGAUGAUGGAGAGCAAAAAGCAAGUGAGGAGGUGGAUCCAGCCCCUAAAGAGGUGCAACCAGCCACGAAAAGGAAGAAGGGUGCAGCUAAAUCUCAAACUAAAGGAGCACCACCUGCAAAGAUAGGAGGUAAUAAGAUGGCUACAGCAAAAUCCCCAACUCAAGGAGCUUCUCAAGCAAAAGGCAAGAAGAACAUUGCAUCAAACUCAACUAAAACUCCAGCUGAAGGCAAGAAAAAGGCAGCAGCUAAAUCCCCAACAAAGGGUGGGAAGAGAAAGCCAAAGGGUACUACACCUACAAAGGAAAGUGGGUCUGCAACCAUUACAAAUUGGGGGAAUUUAGGAUGUGAACUGAUGCUAUUUGGCCAAGUGACUUCAGGUUUUGCAUCUGCUAAUCAUAUACUUCUAUACAUCAUCAUUUCUAUAGCUAAUCCUAAUUGGAACAACAAGCAGUGCAUUUCAGUACAAGCAGAUGCUGUCAAAUUUUCUUCAGUAGCUACAUGCUUCAGGUUCUGCAUCUGCCGGAGAUUGCUACAGAGAUGUUGGGCGAGGGCAGCGCUCGGGACCAGCAGCUAUGAGGAACUGGAGGAGGUGGCGGCUGGGAGUAGCACCGCCGGCGGCGGCGCGGGGAGCAGAUUUGAGAGACGAGAGAAAAAGGGAAUCGGGAGCGGCAGCUGCUCAUGGUGUAACCGUGGAGCGGAGGAGCUAUCAGAUAUGGCUCGAUCCACUCCCUAA